This 588-nucleotide long non-coding RNA is filed under the name Rattus norvegicus (Norway rat). Its description in RNAcentral is "long non-coding RNA NONRATT018916". The record is from RNAcentral. Lineage: Eukaryota; Metazoa; Chordata; Mammalia; Rodentia; Muridae.
AGACCAGGAGAGCCCUCGGCCUGCAUCUUCUGCAGGAGGGCGUCCAGGAGGGUUUUAGGGGCUAAAGAUGGUAGGGCAAAGCCCCCUGGUUGCUCCUUGGCGGGUUCUCCAAUUACUUACAUGGAGAUCACAUCAAUAUGACCCCCAAGAUGAUGCCAGGGGCCCUGCUUCUAGUAGAAUGGAGCCAUACCAGCUCUACAGACUUUAUUGGGGUCCAGGGUGGAGACACUUUUGGGAGCCAGCUUUGUCAGCAUCCCUGACAUCUGAGCUGCCCAGGCUGCACAGGACCAAGGGCUAUCUUCCAAUGGAUGUUGGAAGCCCGGAAGCCCCUUGACUGUUACCAGGCCGGGGUGUGGAGUGAUCCUCACAGGAGCUGCUGGGUUCUCUUGCUCUCUGGGCUUGCUUCAGGAUUUUUUCUUGAGCAGCCAUGGGACCUCACAAAGGAGUAGCACCUGAAUCAGCCUGCAAAGGCAUCUUCCACCAGUCCUAGGACCUGCAGGGGGCAGGGGGUGUUGCAGGCAGAUCUCCGUCUGACCCUGUCAUCUGAGUCACCCCAAUAAAGGUGUCAAGAGCUCUCCAGUGGUCCAG